CCUACGGGUGGCAGCAGUGAGGAAUAUUGGUCAAUGGGCGCGAGCCUGAACCAGCCAAGUAGCGUGAAGGAUGACUGCCCUACGGGUUGUAAACUUCUUUUAUAAAGGAAUAAAGUGAGGCACGUGUGCCUUUUUGUAUGUACUUUAUGAAUAAGGAUCGGCUAACGCCGAGCAAGCAGCCGCGGUAAUACGGAGGAUCCGAGCGUUCUCCGGAUUUAUUGGGUUUAAGGGGAGCGUAGAUGGGUUGUUAAGUCAGUUGUGAACGUUUGCGGCUAAACCGUAAAAUUGCAAUUGAUACGGGCAGUCUUGCGUACAGUUGAGGUAGGCGGAAUUCGUGGUGUAGCGGUGACAUGCUUAGCUCUCACG
This 366-nucleotide ribosomal RNA is filed under the name uncultured bacterium. RNAcentral's name for it is "partial 16S ribosomal RNA". It matches the Rfam family "Bacterial small subunit ribosomal RNA", at positions 338 to 701 of the family's 1533-position model. The record is from RNAcentral.